UAAUUGAAGAGUUUGAUCAUGGCUCAGAUUGAACGCUGGCGGCAGGCCUAACACAUGCAAGUCGAGCGGCAGCACAGAGGAACUUGUUCCUUGGGUGGCGAGCGGCGGACGGGUGAGUAAUGCCUGGGAAAUUGCCCGGUAGAGGGGGAUAACCAUUGGAAACGAUGGCUAAUACCGCAUAACCUCGUAAGAGCAAAGCAGGGGACCUUCGGGCCUUGCGCUACCGGAUAUGCCCAGGUGGGAUUAGCUAGUUGGUGAGGUAAGGGCUCACCAAGGC
Molecule: ribosomal RNA, 277 nt
Filed under: Vibrio cholerae
Lineage: Bacteria; Pseudomonadati; Pseudomonadota; Gammaproteobacteria; Vibrionales; Vibrionaceae
Description: partial 16S ribosomal RNA
Rfam family: Bacterial small subunit ribosomal RNA
Source: RNAcentral